GGGGAAUCUUGCGCAAUGGGCGAAAGCCUGACGCAGCCAUGCCGCGUGGAUGAUGAAGGUCUUAGGAUUGUAAAAUUCUUUCACCGGGGACGAUAAUGACAGUACCGGGAGAAUAAGCCCCGGCUAACUCCGUGCCAGCAGCCGCGGUAAUACGGAGGGGGCUAGCGUUGUUCGGAAUUACUGGGCGUAAAGCGCACGUAGGCGGCUUUGUAAGUUAGAGGUGAAAGCCCGGAGCUCAACUCCGGAAUUGCCUUUAAGACUGCAUCGCUCGAAUCAUGGAGAGGUGAGUGGAAUUCCGAGUGUAGAGGUGAAAUUCGUAGAUAUUCGGAAGAACACCAGUGGCGAAGGCGACUCACUGGACAUGUAUUGACGCUGAGGUGCGAAAGCGUGGGGAGCAAA
This 399-nucleotide ribosomal RNA is filed under the name uncultured bacterium. RNAcentral's name for it is "bacterial SSU rRNA". It matches the Rfam family "Bacterial small subunit ribosomal RNA", at positions 356 to 772 of the family's 1533-position model. The record is from RNAcentral.